GACGAACGCUGGCGGCGUGCCUAACACAUGCAAGUCGAACGGAGUUGAUCCUUCGGGAUUAACUUAGUGGCGGACGGGUGAGUAACGCGUGGGUAACCUGCCUCACACAGGGGGAUAACAGUUGGAAACGACUGCUAAUACCGCAUAAUGUACUUUGGGGGCAUCCCCGAGGUACCAAAGCUUUAUGUGCUGAAAGAUGGUCUCGCGUCUGAUUAGCUAGUUGGCGGGGUAACGGCCCACCAAGGCGACGAUCAGUAGCCGGUCUGAGAGGAUGAACGGCCACAUUGGGACUGAGAUACGGCCCAGACUCCUACGGGAGGCAGCAGUGAGGAAUAUUGGGCAAUGGGCGCAAGCCUGACCCAGCAAUGCCGCGUGAAGGAUGAAGGUUUCGGAUUGUAAACUUCUUUUAAGUAGGGACGAUAAUGACGGUACCUCUUGAAUAAGCCACGGCUAACUACGUG
RNAcentral lists this ribosomal RNA (461 nucleotides) under uncultured bacterium. Its description in RNAcentral is "bacterial SSU rRNA". It matches the Rfam family "Bacterial small subunit ribosomal RNA", at positions 28 to 507 of the family's 1533-position model. The record is from RNAcentral.